AUCACAUCUUGGAAAACUUUUCUAAAUUGGCAUUACUUGGAUAGACUGAACACAUGUUUGAAAACUAGAUGGUUAUUUUCUGAAAAAUAUCAAAACACACGAAAGUGGCAUAAUAACAGUCCUGGGACAAAAACUAUAACAGCUUUGAGCCAAUAAUGCAUCCAUUCUAGCGUUGCACACAUGAACGCACUGUUCCAUUCCCUGAAUACAAUUAGCUCGCUCACACGCUGCUCCGGCUGAACGAUAUGAUGGGAAUGACACAAAUGCGCAUGUGCAAUGGGUCCCACACUCGGAAGCAAAACAUUUUUUUUGGCGAAUGCGCCAGGCGAGCAGCUUUUACUGGAGAGAAUGGGCGCCAUGUUUCUGUCCGGUAUCUAGGUUUUAGGCAUACACAUUUUGCAAAAGGAGAGUUAGUUAACAGUAAGGUUCAACAUGGCCACUGCAACGCUUCAGACAUUCAACGUCUUUCUGACGGAACGAUUAACCGCAGCUGCGGUAGACAUUUAUGGAUUCGUUGAAAAGACAAUCAUAGACUACCAAGAAGAGGUAUACCGAACGAAAAUGGAGAACCAGAGGCUGCAGCGGCUCCUGGAUUUGGUCUACAAACCAGAAAUUAGACUGCAUAGAACAGGUAAACUACAGAGAGGUGCCCUCAACUGAGCAGUGACAGGAGCCAGACUCUUCUACCUGAUGUUCUUCUAUGGACAAAGAGGCUGAAUUGAAGGACCACCUUGGAUAGACAGAUGGAUGAUGCUUGCAUUAUUCAUUGAGAGACACUGUACUAUGUUUAAAACAACAGGAGUAACAACUUCAAGAAUUGUAGUGCUCAGCUAAUAUGUUAUAUACAUUUUAAAGACCCACUCCACUCAAAAAAAAAAGUUCAUAUUUUUAUACCCCAUUAAUAUCAUUCCUCCACUAUACUGACAGUUGUAGAUGCAUAGUUUGUUACUAACAGGGUGUUUUUACAUUCCUCAGCUGAAGGGGACGGAUAUCUGUUUCCUCCCAAAAAAAUCCGAGUUUGAAAGAGGCUUGGGCAGACUUGAUUUGUGACGACAAAUUUGGACAGCCAGAUUUGGUUCUUGGGUUUUCUGGAGUUCAGGAGAAAUCUGAAGCCUCUGGGCUCAGCAGCCAGAACUAACUUUUCAGCACCAGGUGGCAAAAGUUGUUUCUGUUGACAGCAAAUAUGCUAGAUUGCACAAUUUUUGGAUAUAAACCAAACCCUGGAGCUUCUUUAUACAAUUUAUAUAAUUACUAUUAAGCUAACACUGUGAGCUAGUGUGAAACAUGCAUCAUUAUUAGCAGCUGGUUAGCUAUGGUUUUGGCUUCUGGUAGCAGCCUGAGGGCUGCAUUUAGCCAUCUGCUAAUAACACUUAAGCUCCCAGUCUUAUGUUAACGUUACUGUGAGGUUGUAGUUCAACUGAAAAAAUGAAGAGAUGCUGACAUCAUAUUGAAUGUUAUGAGAUGUGCAAUUAGUUACUGAUGUUUAACAACUAAGCUAUGUUUGUCUCACUGCUAAAGCUAAUGGUUAGCCUCUUGCUAACUUAGCCUCUGCUAAAAAUGCCAUUCUUCAGGUUCUCUGUUGCCAGAUUGCGUUUUUCUUAAUCAUUGAGCAAAAACAAACAGAUACUAACAUACUGGCAAAC
Monopterus albus (swamp eel) is the source of this 1643-nucleotide RNA transcript. It is a transcript of the gene named zinc finger protein 436-like, with no coding region annotated. The record is from RefSeq and is a predicted model, not a curated record. The transcript has 2 exons. NCBI's taxonomy places the organism in Eukaryota, Metazoa, Chordata, Actinopteri, Synbranchiformes, Synbranchidae.